This 429-nucleotide ribosomal RNA is filed under the name Chloroflexota bacterium. RNAcentral describes it as "Chloroflexi bacterium partial 16S ribosomal RNA". It matches the Rfam family "Bacterial small subunit ribosomal RNA", at positions 355 to 776 of the family's 1533-position model. Lineage: Bacteria; Bacillati; Chloroflexota. The record is from RNAcentral.
UGGGGAAUAUUGCACAAUGGGCGCAAGCCUGAUGCAGCCAUGCCGCGUGUAUGAAGAAGGCCUUCGGGUUGUAAAGUACUUUCUGUCGGGAGGAAGGUGGUAAGGUUAAUAACCUUAUCAAUUGACGUUACCGACAGAAGAAGCACCGGCUAACUCCGUGCCAGCAGCCGCGGUAAUACGGAGGGUGCAAGCGUUAAUCGGAAUUACUGGGCGUAAAGCGCACGCAGGCGGUUGAUUGAGUCAGAUGUGAAAUCCCCGGGCUUAACCCGGGAAUUGCAUCUGAUACUGGUCAGCUAGAGUCUUGUAGAGGGGGGUAGAAUUCCAUGUGUAGCGGUGAAAUGCGUAGAGAUGUGGAGGAAUACCGGUGGCGAAGGCGGCCCCCUGGACAAAGACUGACGCUCAGGUGCGAAAGCGUGGGGAGCAAACAGG